This 619-nucleotide ribosomal RNA is filed under the name Streptococcus mutans. RNAcentral describes it as "bacterial SSU rRNA". It matches the Rfam family "Bacterial small subunit ribosomal RNA", at positions 371 to 981 of the family's 1533-position model. Lineage: Bacteria; Bacillati; Bacillota; Bacilli; Lactobacillales; Streptococcaceae. The record is from RNAcentral.
AUGGACGAAAGUCUGACCGAGCAACGCCGCGUGAGUGAAGAAGGUUUUCGGAUCGUAAAGCUCUGUUGUAAGUCAAGAACGUGUGUGAGAGUGGAAAGUUCACACAGUGACGGUAGCUUACCAGAAAGGGACGGCUAACUACGUGCCAGCAGCCGCGGUAAUACGUAGGUCCCGAGCGUUGUCCGGAUUUAUUGGGCGUAAAGGGAGCGCAGGCGGUCAGGAAAGUCUGGAGUAAAAGGCUAUGGCUCAACCAUAGUGUGCUCUGGAAACUGCCUGACUUGAGUGCAGAAGGGGAGAGUGGAAUUCCAUGUGUAGCGGUGAAAUGCGUAGAUAUAUGGAGGAACACCAGUGGCGAAAGCGGCUCUCUGGUCUGUCACUGACGCUGAGGCUCGAAAGCGUGGGUAGCGAACAGGAUUAGAUACCCUGGUAGUCCACGCCGUAAACGAUGAGUGCUAGGAGUUAGGCCCUUUCCGGGGCUUAGUGCCGGAGCUAACGCAAAAAGCACUCCGCCUGGGGAGUACGACCGCAAGGUUGAAACUCAAAGGAAUUGACGGGGGCCCGCACAAGCGGUGGAGCAUGUGGUUUAAUUCGAAGCAACGCGGAGAACCUUACCAGGUCU